CCUACGGGAGGCAGCAGUGGGGAAUACUGCACAAUGGGGGAAACCCUGAUGCAGCGACGCCGCGUGAGUGAAGAAGUAUUUCGGUAUGUAAAGCUCUAUCAGCCGGGAAGAAAAUGACGGUACCUGAUUAAUAAGCCCCGGCUAACUACGUGCCAGCAGCCGCGGUCAUACGUAGGGGGCAAGCGUUAUCCGGAUUUACUGGGUGUAAAGGGAGCGUAGACGGCAGCACAAGUCUGGAGUGAAAUGCCGGGGCUUAACCCCGGAACUGCUUUGGAAACUGUGCAGCUAGAGUGCAGGAGAGGUAAGUGGAAUUCCUAGUGUAGCGGUGAAAUGCGUAGAUAUUAGGAGGAACACCAGUGGCGAAGGCGGCUUACUGGACUGUAACUGACGUUGAGGCUCGAAAGCGUGGGGAGCAAACAGGAUUAGAUACCCUUGUAGUC
This 440-nucleotide ribosomal RNA is filed under the name uncultured bacterium. Its description in RNAcentral is "partial 16S ribosomal RNA". It matches the Rfam family "Bacterial small subunit ribosomal RNA", at positions 338 to 795 of the family's 1533-position model. The record is from RNAcentral.